This 374-nucleotide ribosomal RNA is filed under the name uncultured organism. RNAcentral's name for it is "bacterial SSU rRNA". It matches the Rfam family "Bacterial small subunit ribosomal RNA", at positions 526 to 896 of the family's 1533-position model. The record is from RNAcentral.
CGGGGGGAGCAAGCGUUGUUCGGAUUUACUGGGCGUAAAGGGCGCGUAGGCGGCCACCGCAAGUCGACUGUGAAAUCUCCGGGCUUAACCGGGAACGGUCAGCCGAUACUGCGGGGCUAGAGUGCAGAAGGGGCAACUGGAAUUCUCGGUGUAGCGGUGAAAUGCGUAGAUAUCGAGAGGAACACCUGCGGCGAAGGCGGGUUGCUGGGCUGACACUGACGCUGAGGCGCGAAAGCUAGGGGAGCGAACGGGAUUAGAUACCCCGGUAGUCCUAGCCUUAAACGAUGAAUGCUUGGUGUCUGGGGUUUUAUAGUCCCCGGGUGCCGUCGCUAACGCUUUAAGCAUUCCGCCUGGGGAGUACGGUCGCAAGACUG